UACGAAGGGGGCUAGCGUUGUUCGGAAUUACUGGGCGUAAAGGGCUCGUAGGUGGCCAACUAAGUCAGACGUGAAAUCCCUCGGCUUAACCGGGGAACUGCGUCUGAUACUGGAUGGCUUGAGUUUGGGAGAGGGAUGCGGAAUUCCAGGUGUAGCGGUGAAAUGCGUAGAUAUCUGGAGGAACACCGGUGGCGAAGGCGGCAUCCUGGACCAACACUGACACUGAUGCGCGACAGCAUGGGGAGCAAACAGG
RNAcentral lists this ribosomal RNA (253 nucleotides) under uncultured bacterium. Its description in RNAcentral is "partial 16S ribosomal RNA". It matches the Rfam family "Bacterial small subunit ribosomal RNA", at positions 524 to 776 of the family's 1533-position model. The record is from RNAcentral.